GUUGAACAGUACAGAGAGGCAUAAAAAGCAGACACCUCCUGCUCCUCACAUAACCUGUUUUCAGCCCUACUCUGUAAUCUGUUUUCCAUCGUGAUUUUACUUACAUUUGGUACUUUUGAUUCUUCAGGGCCAGUGGGGAGUGACGGCAGCAGAGGAAGAGGAGGAAAAUAAGAGGAUUGGAGAAUUUAAAGAAUCUAUACCAAAAAUGUGCUCACAGUUGCGAAUAUUGACCCAUUUCUACCAGGGUAUCGUGCAGCAGUUUUUGGUGUUACUGACGACCAGCUCUGACGAGAGUCUUCGGUUUCUUAGCUUCAGGCUGGACUUUAACGAGCAUUACAAAGCCAGGGAGCCCAGGCUCCGCGUGUCUCUGGGUACCAGGGGGCGGCGCAGCUCCCACACGUGAAACUCGUGGUCCUCCCAGGGAGCUGCGGGUGAUGCUCGUUGCACUGCUAGACACGAAAUUCCCAUCGACGUCCUGCAGGAACUGCAUGCUGACCACGAGUGCGCCAUGUUUCAGCGGAGCGGCGUGUGGG
This 533-nucleotide small RNA is filed under the name Pongo abelii (Sumatran orangutan). RNAcentral's name for it is "processed transcript". Lineage: Eukaryota; Metazoa; Chordata; Mammalia; Primates; Hominidae. The record is from RNAcentral.